RNAcentral lists this transfer RNA (67 nucleotides) under Nebrioporus millingeni. RNAcentral describes it as "tRNA-Ser". The record is from RNAcentral. Lineage: Eukaryota; Metazoa; Arthropoda; Insecta; Coleoptera; Dytiscidae.
GAAAUAUAAGGAUUAAGAUAAAGCUUCUAACUUUUCUCUUUAGCGGUUUAACUCCGUUAAUAUUUCU